Molecule: non-coding RNA, 28 nt
Filed under: Mus musculus (house mouse)
Lineage: Eukaryota; Metazoa; Chordata; Mammalia; Rodentia; Muridae
Source: RNAcentral
UCCUGAAGUCCUGCGGCACCAGUGCUCA